GGGCAGUGUCCCCACGGGCACCUCGAUGGGCACUGUCACCCAGGACAGCGUGGGCAGUGUCCCCACGGGCACCUCGAUGGGCACUGUCACCCAGGACAGCGUGGGCAGUGUCCCCACGGGCACCUCGAUGGGCACUGUCACCCAGGACAGCGUGGGCAGUGUCCCCACGGGCACCUCGAUGGGCACUGUCACCCAGGACAGCGUGGGCAGUGUCCCCAAGGGCUCCACCAUGGGCACUGCCACCCAGGACAGCAGCUCCCCACUGCCCACUGCCACCCCUGGCACCUCUGCAACCUCCCCAGGUGAAACCUUCCAGGAGAGCUCCUCAGGUGAGCCAGGGCUGCUCCCCGCUGUGUUACCAGCUCUGCUUCUGCUGAUUUGCGUCACCAUCACCAUCCUCACCCUGGCCAAAAUCAAGCUCCAAAAGCAGACAGGAGAAGAAAGAAGCAGCAUGGGGAGCCUGGAUCCAGCUCGCGCUGGGCUGAGCCCUGGAAGGGAGGGAAGGAUGGAGGAGAGCCCAGGAGAGGAGCAGGAAUUCGGGAUGGGCUCUGGCAAAUGUAGGACAAUCUCUGCUAUCCUUGGAAAUAUCAGGAUGAUCAGCUUCUAUGUGCCUGAUGAAGACUUGAGCCAGAACCUUCUGUGAAAGCCCCUGGGUGCCAGAGCUGGGAAUUUUCUCUGUGGAAAGCCAAGCCCCCAACACCUCCCGCUGCUCUCCUCAGAACCCAAAUCCCCUUUGCUGAGAGCUGAACCCCCACAGUGCCCAAAUUGCUCCCUUUUUGCAGAAGAGAGGAUAAAAAACCACUCCUGAACCCAGCUAUUUGUGGGUUGUUUCCCUGAGGGAAAAGCAAAUCUGGGGAGGGGUGAGGAGAAACCUUUGUGGUUUCAGGGGUGCUCAUAUCAGAGAAUCACAGAAUGGUUUGGGUUGGAAAGGAUUGAGUUCUCAAAAAAAAAAAAAAAAAAAGCCCCCCCCCCCCCCCCCCCCCCCCCCCCCCCCCCCCCCCCCCCCCCCCCCCCCCCCCCCCCCCCCCCCCCCCCCCCCCC
RNAcentral lists this long non-coding RNA (1041 nucleotides) under Ficedula albicollis (Collared flycatcher). RNAcentral describes it as "lncRNA (ENSFALG00000027739.1)". The record is from RNAcentral. Lineage: Eukaryota; Metazoa; Chordata; Aves; Passeriformes; Muscicapidae.